CAGUUUGGCUGGGCCACAGAAAGCUCUCUCCGUUUGGACAGCACGUGCAUUUGCGAGGACUCAACGUUCGUCUGGAAGUCACCAGUUAGCAUGGUAACUCGUUAAACCGUUACACCAGCUACUUCAGAAACUUAAAAUGAGUUUGAAUUGAAAGACGACAGGUCGGAGCGGGCUGUUAGAAGCACUUUGUAAACAAGGGUUACAGGUAUUGUUGAGAGUUAACACUCCCAUCAGGCGAGGUAGCAAGCAGCCUAGCCAGCCAGCUAGCACCAGGAAGUAGUGUAAAUUCGUCCAUAAUAACCUGCGCACCUGUAGCUCAAUUAAGACAAGGCGGAAGUAAUAACACUCCUCAAAUGGGCUUUGAAGGUUAUACAUCAGAAAUGGAUAGGAACAGUGUUGCAGAAAAAGUCUUGCUCUGCUAUGAAGAGACCGUCCUUUGCGACGAGCUGCAUCUUCCACGCGGUUGUGAUUCACUUGGCAGCCGCUCCAGAUAAACAUGUUGUGGUGGACAGACGCCUGGGUCCCGGUCCGGAGGAGCGGGACGGGGGAGGACAGACUGACGUGGGUGGGUCCCGGCCCUGGUCCCAACGUCAUCACGGGCAGCAGUGGGCAGCGCCAGCCACUUGGCCAGAUGGUCCUGGAGUCGAUCUCUCGCCACUGUUCAUCAAACACACCCGCUCGCUCUGUCUUUCCUCGCCAUGGCCCCUAGCAUCAUGUCACAGUGGAACCAGAGAAAAUUAGCACCUAAUUAUAGGCUCCUCUCUGUGAAGGAUGGUGCUGGUGGUGUGUGUCAGCUUGUGGAGGCUGGGUGGUUGACUCACUGUGGGGACCCGGGAUUGCAGACCACGCAGAGGACAUACAGAACACACACGCAGGCCACGGAGGCGAACACACAUAUGCAGAGGAACACACACCAGUAAAAGGCUAAGACUCCCUUCGUUCAGGAUGAUUUGAGCCUCAGCAGGGUCUGCCCCCCUCCCCUGCCUGUGAGGAUGCCACAACAGAAACCACUUGUGUUCCAUCGCUGAUCCAACAGGAUUAAUUACACACACAAUUGAAGCUGAUUCCUCGGGUUUCUUUGCUCCGCAGGCUCCCUUGUGUAAAGGAUGUGUAGUUAAUCUACGCUGGGAACAAUGGAGAUUUUGUUCUGGUGUGUUUUAGUUAAGUUGUGUCUACAGAGGAGCUUGACUUUGCUGCCAUCUUGUGAUUGCAUCUGGACAAAUACAGGAUGUAAAUGGGUAACCUGGUUUGCUUUGUAGGUGCAGUACUUAGAAUUUGUGUUAAGUCACUGUUGAAGGUAAAUAAAGGA
Molecule: long non-coding RNA, 1309 nt
Organism: Cheilinus undulatus (humphead wrasse)
Lineage: Eukaryota; Metazoa; Chordata; Actinopteri; Labriformes; Labridae
Exons: 3
Source: RefSeq, a predicted model, not a curated record